GAGUUUGAUCCUGGCUCAGAUUGAACGCUGGCGGCAUGCCUUACACAUGCAAGUCGAACGGCAGCGCGGGGCAACCUGGCGGCGAGUGGCGAACGGGUGAGUAAUAUAUCGGAACGUACCCUGGAGUGGGGGAUAACGUAGCGAAAGUUACGCUAAUACCGCAUACGAUCUAAGGAUGAAAGUGGGGGAUCGCAAGACCUCAUGCUCCUGGAGCGGCCGAUAUCUGAUUAGCUAGUUGGUGGGGUAAAGGCCUACCAAGGCAUCGAUCAGUAGCUGGUCUGAGAGGACGACCAGCCACACUGGGACUGAGACACGGCCCAGACUCCUACGGGAGGCAGCAGUGGGGAAUUUUGGACAAUGGGGGCAACCCUGAUCCAGCAAUGCCGCGUGAGUGAAGAAGGCCUUCGGGUUGUAAAGCUCUUUUGUCAGGGAAGAAACGGUGGUUUCUAAUACAGAUCACUAAUGACGGUACCUGAAGAAUAAGCACCGGCUAACUACGUGCCAGCAGCCGCGGUAAUACGUAGGGUGCAAGCGUUAAUCGGAAUUACUGGGCGUAAAGCGUGCGCAGGCGGUUUUGUAAGUCUGUCGUGAAAUCCCCGGGCUCAACCUGGGAAUUGCGAUGGAGACUGCAAGGCUAGAAUCUGGCAGAGGGGGGUAGAAUUCCACGUGUAGCAGUGAAAUGCGUAGAGAUGUGGAGGAACACCGAUGGCGAAGGCAGCCCCCUGGGUCAAGAUUGACGCUCAUGCACGAAAGCGUGGGGAGCAAACAGGAUUAGAUACCCUGGUAGUCCACGCCCUAAGCGAUGUCUACUAGUUGUCGGGUUUUAAUUAACUUGGUAACGCAGCUAACGCGUGAAGUAGACCGCCUGGGGAGUACGGUCGCAAGAUUAAAACUCAAAGGAAUUGACGGGGACCCGCACAAGCGGUGGAUGAUGUGGAUUAAUUCGAUGCAACGCGAAAAACCUUACCUACCCUUGACAUGGAAGGAACCCUGGAGAGAUCUGGGGGUGCUCGAAAGAGAACCUUUACACAGGUGCUGCAUGGCUGUCGUCAGCUCGUGUCGUGAGAUGUUGGGUUAAGUCCCGCAACGAGCGCAACCCUUGUCAUUAGUUGCUACGAAAGAGCACUCUAAUGAGACUGCCGGUGACAAACCGGAGGAAGGUGGGGAUGACGUCAAGUCCUCAUGGCCCUUAUGGGUAGGGCUUCACACGUCAUACAAUGGUACAUACAGAGGGCCGCCAACCCGCGAGGGGGUCUAAUCCCAGAAAGUGUAUCGUAGUCCGGAUUGUAGUCUGCAACUCGACUACAUGAAGUUGGAAUCGCUAGUAAUCGCGGAUCAGCAUGUCGCGGUGAAUACGUUCCCGGGUCUUGUACACACCGCCCGUCACACCAUGGCAGCGGGUUUUACCAGAGGUAGGUAGCUUAACCGCAAGGAGGGCGCUUACCACGGUAGGAUUCGUGACUGGGGU
RNAcentral lists this ribosomal RNA (1468 nucleotides) under metagenome. Its description in RNAcentral is "bacterial SSU rRNA". It matches the Rfam family "Bacterial small subunit ribosomal RNA". The record is from RNAcentral.